RNAcentral lists this ribosomal RNA (497 nucleotides) under uncultured bacterium. RNAcentral describes it as "partial 16S ribosomal RNA". It matches the Rfam family "Bacterial small subunit ribosomal RNA", at positions 28 to 507 of the family's 1533-position model. The record is from RNAcentral.
GAUGAACGCUGGCGGCGUGCCUAAUACAUGCAAGUCGAGCGAACAGACGAGGAGCUUGCUCCUCUGACGUUAGCGGCGGACGGGUGAGUAACACGUGGAUAACCUACCUAUAAGACUGGGAUAACUUCGGGAAACCGGAGCUAAUACCGGAUAAUAUAUUGAACCGCAUGGUUCAAUAGUGAAAGACGGUUUUGCUGUCACUUAUAGAUGGAUCCGCGCCGCAUUAGCUAGUUGGUAAGGUAACGGCUUACCAAGGCAACGAUGCGUAGCCGACCUGAGAGGGUGAUCGGCCACACUGGAACGGAGACACGGUCCAGACUCCUACGGGAGGCAGCAGUAGGGAAUCUUCCGCAAUGGGCGAAAGCCUGACGGAGCAACGCCGCGUGAAUGAUGAAGGUCUUCGGAUCGUAAAACUCUGUUAUUAGGGAAGAACAAAUGUGUAAGUAACUAUGCACGUCUUGACGGUACCUAAUCAGAAAGCCACGGCUAACUACGUG